Molecule: long non-coding RNA, 9668 nt
Organism: Loxodonta africana (African savanna elephant)
Lineage: Eukaryota; Metazoa; Chordata; Mammalia; Proboscidea; Elephantidae
Exons: 2
Source: RefSeq, a predicted model, not a curated record
CUCACCUCUUGGCGUCAGGGGCCACCUCGCCCCGCACUCGGAGGCACUCCCCGGGUUUGAGAUUCAGGUUGUUGGCGACCAGACCCUGCGCAGACAAGACCCCGCCCAGUCGGUUCAGCUCCGGGGGCGCGGGAUUGGGUUCAGAGUGGCCUUGGAGGCAAGGUGCUAUGCCAUCUCCUCAUUUAACAGAGGGAGAGAACCAGGCUGGGAUGGGCAGUUGAUAGUAGGGCUCCUGGCACCUGGUCCAACGGAAGGUAAAUGAAGGUAGGUGGGUCCCCUCUGAAGAGGCCAUGGCCGCCACUGGGGGCUCCCCGUCAUCCUCUUCAAGGCCCUGUGGGAGACCCCCAGGAGCAUGGCCAGGCCCUUCAAAGGAGUGGGGAGCACAAACAAGGUCCGGAAUCUGCAGCCCAGGAAGCUUGGGGUGGGUGGAGCUGCCCUCCCACUUAGCAUGCCACCCGUGGUGCCCAAGGCUGGUGGCAGGAGUUAGUGGGUAUGAGUGGUUCCUUCUGCCAGAAACUUGAACCCUUUCCCUGGGGGCCUGGGGAAGAUUCACUCCUUCUCUCUCCCUUACCAUCCCCCACCUCCCACCUCGAGGGAGUGGGUGGUUUGAAAUUCAGCCCCACUUUUUUUCAGCGGGGCCAGAACCAUCCUUCAUCCCCUCAGCCCAAGCAGGCUCCCUCCCCAGCAGCCUGUCUCUGCUCCUGGCUCUGACUUUUCAGAGCUCUUUGGAGCAGAGGCCUGACUCUGUCCUGGCGUGGUGACUGGAGACAGCUGCAGGGGGGAGGGGACAGGAGGCUCUUGGAGGUGGAGGAGGGGAAGAGGACAGUGCCUGGACGUCACCAAUGUGCCAUCUUACCCCCCCCCCAGCUGGCCACACCCUUCCACUCUCACUUCUCAGAGAGCUACAGAGCUGCAGAAUGUAAGACCUAGGCAGAAAUAACUGUGCUGUCAGGCCCCAGAGAAAUCCAGAAAAUUCUUAAGCUCCAGAGGGCCUUUGGGGACCAUAGCACCCACCUCCAUUUUACAGACAUGGCCACUGAGGCCCAGAAAAGAGAAGGUACUUGCUUAAGAUCACACAGAUACAACUAGACCCGACCUUCUGAUCUGCCCACUGCUCCCAUCUCAUUCCCUGGGCUUUGGGGUGGGGCACCCACACUCACACAGGCCAUGGCUGAGGGUAGAAGGUGAUCCUGGGACCGCUGCACCAGCUGUCUGAAGACUCCACCGAGAGGAGAGAUGGGUCCCGGGCCGCUCCCACCUUUUUAACUGGACCAGACCCUGGUGAGUCCCGCCCCCUGGAAGCGUGGCCAAUUGGAGGUCAGGACAUGGCUGUGGGCCACCAGAGGCGGGGUCAGUGGAAUUUUGAAGCCAGUUCUGGAGCAGAGAGGACCAAUCAGAGUGACACCCCCUCAACCCCUUUUUAGCCACACCCCCAGGGUCCAAGCUCCAUUCCCUAGUCUCCUCCUCCAUCCCACCCCAUCCCCCCAGAAUUAUGCUGUGGCAGGGAUUGCAGGAAGCCAAUGGAAAAUAGUUUGAGGAUGAGCUAGGCCCAAGAGUUGGCGGGAAGGGGGCCUGGGGCCAGCAGGCUGAGCUUGGGGGUACCCAGAGAAGAUGGCUGAGGGGAUGCAGGUCCUUCAGUGACUGGAGCUUGGGUAGGUGAUGCUGCAUGCUUCCUGGCAGGGGCCAGGGUGUGGCCGGCUCUGUGGGCCUCUGCAGGUGGGAGGAUCCAUUAACCACGAGGCCUGGCCCCACCCGGGCCUCCCCCGGAAGCAGAGAUGGCGGCUGCUGCCUGUGUUCCUUACUAGGGCUAAAGAAAGGUUGGGCUGGGUGCCAGGCCUGAGGCCACCAGCCCUGGCUCGGGCCUCAGGCUUCAGCCCUCGUGAGGGGCCAGCUGGCGCUCCUCAGACAGCCCAGGCUGUCUGAGAGUGUCAGCCCGAGAGGGCCCAAGGGGGACCAGAUUGUGAGGGGCUGGGGUCCCCACUCUGUGCACCCCCACGCACAUCUCCCCCACCAAGGCCAGGCACAGUCCUUCCUUUUGCCAUCCAUACAGCAGAUGUUUUACUGAGCAACCCCCUGAAGCCUUGGCCCCGGGGGUGGCCUCUGAGGAUUCAAGAUGAACCCCUCCCAGUCCCUGCCAUGGAGCCGCUCUCCAGGCAGAAUCCAACCGUGAAUGUGAUUAAGAAGCAGCAUGGUUUAGGGGGCCGUGAGUUUAUGUCAACGGUGCUGGGAUGAUUUGGGGCAAAGGAAGAUUGGAAUAGUUGCCCAACUUGAAGAAUGUACUCAGUGUCACUGAAUUGCCCAUUGGAAAUUGUUGAGAUGGUGUAUGUUUUCUUAUGUAUAGUUUCACCACAAUAAAAAAAAAAAAAUGAAGAGUAUGAUGAGAGCUAAAGGGAAGUCAGGCCCGAGUGCCGUGGGGGCUGGAGACUGUCCAGAUGCCAAGAAGGUGGGUCUUGAAGGAUGGAUGAAGGAGGUGGCAUUCUAGCAUGGGCAAAGGCUCAGAGGUGAGGAAGCACAGACCUGGGGAACGUGAGCGUCUAGGCACGGCUGGAGUUUAGGGGAUGUAGGGGGAGACGGGGGGUGAGGCUGGGAAGCCAACAGGAGCUGGAUCAUGAAGGGCCUCGCGGGCCAGGUAAAGAGCUUGGACAUUGUAUUUUCUGAGGGUGCUGGGGAGCCACAGUAGGUUAUGUUGCUGUUGUUGUUAGGGGCCGUCAAGUUGGUUCCAACUCACAGCGGCCCUAUGCACAACAGAACGAAACACUGCCCGGUCCUGGGCCAUCCUUACAAUCGUUGUUAUGCUUGAGCUCAUUGUUGCAGCCACUGAGUCAAUCCACCUCGUUGAGGGUCUUUGUCUUUUCUGCUGACCCUGUUCUCUGCCGAGCGUGAUGUCCUUCUCCAAGGACUCAUCCCUCCUGGCAACAUGUCCAAAGCAUGUAAGACGCAGUCUCACCAUCCUUGCCUCUAAGGGGCGUUCUGGUUGUACUUCUUCUAAGACAAAUUUAUUCGUUCUUCUGGCAGUCCAUGGUAUAUUCAAUAUUCUUCGCCAACACCACAAUUCAAAGGCAUCAAUUCUUCUUCAGUCUUCCUUAUUCAUUGUCCAGCUUUCACAUGCAUAUGAUGCAAUUGAAAAUACCACAGCUUGGGUCAGGUGCACCUUAGUCUUCAAGGUGACAUCUUUGCUCUUCAACACUUUGAAGAGGUCCUUUGCAGCAGAUUUGCCCAAUGCAAUGCAUCUUUUGGUUUCUUGACUGCUGCUUCCGUGGGUGUUGAUUGUGGAUCCAAGUAAAAUGAAGUCCUUGACAACUUCAGUUUUUCUCUGUUUGUCAUGAUGUUGCUCAUUGGUCCAGUUGUGAAGAUUUUUGUUUUCUUUAUGUUGAGGUGUAAUCCACACUGAAGGCUGUGGCCUUUGAUCUUCAUCAGUAAGUGCUUCAAGUCCUCUUCACUUUCAGCAAGCAAGGUUGUGUCAUCUGCAUAACACAGGUUGUUAAUGAAUCUUCCUCCAAUCCUGAUGCCCAGCUCUUCUUCGUAUAGGGUAGGUUAUAGGGAGGGGAAUAUUGAGACCAGAUUUGGGCUGCAGGGAAAAUUACUAUCAAUAGAGUGGAGGGUGGGCUGGAGGGGGGCUCACCUCACACCCAGGAACCAGGUGGAGGGAGGGAUGUGGGGAGCACUAGUCAAGGGGAGUGUUGCUGGAGGGGUGUUGAGGACCUCCUUCUCCAUACUCCCCUUUCCAAAGCUGCCAGCACCAAAGAGGGAGGAAGAUUCAGACCUAGCGGUGAUUCACAUUUGGCUGCGGGGCCAGCAAACCCACCCUGCCCUGCCCUGUCCUGCCCUGCCGCCCAGCCCCGCCUCCUCUGCCUCCACCUGGUGGGGCACCUUCCUCCAGAUGACUGAAGUCCGCCCUGGUGCAAGAUGAGAGGGGCCUGGUGGGGCCAAAGCUGGCCCUGAAAGGGGGCUGGGCUGCACCCCUGUGGGCCUGUACCCUCCCAUCUAGACCAAGCUGGCUGCCUUACUAACCAACCGCAGCAGCUUCGCUUUUUCCUCCGGGUCCUCUCCAAAACCUCAGUCUAGGGAGGGCUCAGUAGGGCUCAACAGGGGGCACUCCACUGCCUUUCUGCUGUGUUCCUCUGCAAGCGCUUCCCCUAUGGAGUCCUGGGGCAUUUCAGGCAGGGACCUGGAGCAAGGACACCUGGUGCUUCCCUACAGUCUGCUCGUUGGGCUCCCACGGGCUCUGGAGCUGCUGCUACGUUUUUCACCACAAUCUGGAAACCAGGCCCAGCAUCAGAGGUGCCAAGAGAUGUUUGCCGUUUCACAAAGGUAUUGCUUCAGUCUUCUCCUGGGCCUGGCCUGGCCGAGAGGCAUGGUGGAAAGUUUGCUUCUUAAAGGCCCCCACUUGGGAGUCUGGAGACUCUGGUUCUGCUCCUAGCUCUGCCACACCUCCCCCGCACCAUGGCAUCCUGGCAAGUCGCUUCUUCCUGCUUGCCUCAGCCUUCCCAUCUGUAAAUUGGGGAGGUUAAACCGUUUUUCUCCCACACAAGGAUAGUGCAGAGAGGAACUCAGGUCUGCUGUACUAAAUCUAUGAUUACUUUUUCAUGGAACCCCAGAAGGUUUUAACCUCCCCCUUGUCCUUUUUUCCAGGCUGAGUCAACUUCCUGGGGUCUUUGUUGCAUCUCUGGGUGGUCUCCCCCUUACCCCUACUUUAUCUUCAACAAGUCCCCUCCUGCCUAGGCCGGGGAGGUGUCUCUCCAGAUUUCAGUGUCCCCUGUAAGAAGUAUUAUGGUUUUCCUGGGUUUUGGGAGGGACAAACUGCAUCUCAUCCGCCCCCCCACGCCCUGCCCAAGCCCAUCCAUCCUCAGGGCUCCUGGUGAUAGCACCCACUUAUCUGUCCAGGGCCUGUGCCUGGCGCCUUGCUUGCACACAUGGUUUCACUUUGUCCUCUCUGAUCCCCUAUUUUGUGUCUGCCAACUGGCUGGGGCCCAGAAAUGAGGCUGCAGUUAGAAUCAGGAGAGCAGCAAGUCCUGAUUUUGUGGCUGCCUGCCUGUGACUGCAGCCGGGUUCCUUGACCUCUCUGACCUGUCUCCAGUCUGGAAGGUGGGGGGUGGUACCCAUUCACCAGCUGGUUGGAAGGUGAUGUACCUGAGAGAUGUGUCCGUUAGUUCUCCUCCUGCUCGCCCGAGGCCAAGGCCCUCUCCCCCUGGGAUUCUCCUCCCCCGUGGCAGCCCUGCAGCCCAGGCCUCCAGUUCUCUGGAAUCCUUUUUCCCGUGCAGGAUCUUGGCUGCUGCCCUGAGAAAUGAGCUCAGCUCUUCCAGAUGGCGCAGUCCUUCCCAGCCUGCAGGCUCCUGCCCAGCCCCAAGCAGGCUGCACCUCCUCCGGUUGGCAGUAGACAGGGCGGGGCUGGUGGGCCCAUAGAGCACCAUCCACACCCCCCUGCCAACCCUGCUGCCCAGCCGAGGAUGAUGCUGGUGGUCAAAGCCAGCCAGAAUCCCAGAAGUCAGAGCAGGGAAGGACCUUGAAGGUACUGCACUUGACCUACUCACCCGCUUGACGAUGCAGGAAAUACCCAAAGAGGGUGGCCACUUGGCCAGGGUCACACAGGAGUUAGAGCCAAAGCCCUGUUAUCUGCUGAGUCAAGGAAAGAAGAACACUGUGGUCCCCAGCUGGUACCUGGACCUCAAAAACUAUCUUUUUUUCAGAAUAUUGAGAAAGGUGGAACAAUUUGAAGAAUGUAACCGAUGUCACUGAACUGUACAUGUGGAAAGCGUUGAACUGAUGUAUAUUUUGCUGUGUAUAUCUUCACCACAAAUUGAAAAAACAAAAAUCCAACCAUCUUUUCUUCCUGCUCUGUGAAGGGCAAGAGGGCCUAGUGGUGGCAACGGAUGACACCACUCCCCCUUUGCGCUGUCUUAGUCAUCUAGUACUGCUGUAACAAAUACCACGUGUGGAUGGCUUUAACAAACAGAUGUUUAUUUUCUCACAGUUAGGAAGGCUAGGAGUCUGAAUUCAAGGUUCUGGCUCUUGGCAAAGACUUUCUCUAUCUGUCAGCUCUGGAGGAAGGUCCUUGUCUCUUCAGCUUCCGCUUCCUGGCUUGGCAUCUCCAUGUGGCCUGGCAUUGGUCUCACCCCAUCUUUGCUUCUUUCAAUUGCUUGCUUAAUCUCUUUUACAUCUCAAAAGCUUGGACUUCUUCCUUCAAUACCAUCCAUUCUUGAUCAUAUGCUACUCUCUUAGUCAUCUAGUGCUGCUGUAACAGAAAUACCACAAGUGGAUGGCUUUAACAAAGGGAUGUUUCUUCUCUCACGGUCUAGUAGAUUAGAAGUCCGAAUUCAGGGUUCCAGCUCCAGGGGAAGGCUUUCUGUCUUUUGGCUGUGAGGGAAGGUCCUUGUCAUCAGCCUUCUCCCAUCAAGGAGGUUCUUCACAGUGCAGGGACCCCAGGUCCAAAGGGUGUGCUAUUCUCCUGGCUCUUGUUUCUUGGUGGUAUGAGGUUCCCACGUCUCUCUGCUGGCUUCUCUUUUAUAUCUCAAAAGAGAUUGGCUCAAGACACAAUCCAAUCUUGUAGAUUGAGUUCUGCCUCGUUGACAUAAGUGCCAAUAAUCCCAUCUCAUCAACAUCUUAGAGAUAGGAUUUACAACACAUAGGAAAAUCACAUCAGGUGACAAAAUGGUGGGCAAUCACACAAUAAUGGAAAUCAUGGCCUAGCCAAAUUGAUACACGUGUUUUGGGGGGACACAAUUCGAUCCAUGACAGCUACCUCCUGAAACCUGAACAUCAACCAAGUCGUUUUGGUAGAGUGACUCUGUAUUCCUUCUAUCUUCUUUUCAUGCUUCCUGCAUCGUUCAAUAUUUUGCCCAUAGAAUCCUUUAACAUUGCAACUCAAGGUUUGAAUUUUUUCUUCUGUUCUUUCAGCUUGAGAAACGCUAAGCUUGUUCUUUCCUUUUGGUUUUCUAACUCUAGGUCUUUGCACAUUUCACUAUAAUACUUUACUUUGGAAUCGACUCAACAGCAGCAGGUUUGGGUUUUUGUUUCUCGAGCUGCCCUUUGAAAUCUUCUGCUUCGCUCUUUUACUUCAUCUUUGAAGGGUUUAAAGACUUCUUCAAGGUGUUAAAAAGCAAAGAUGGACUGCCAGAAAAAUGAACAAAUCUGUCUUGGAAGAAGUACAGCCAGAAUGCCCUUUAGAAGCAAGGAUGGUGAAACUUGGUCUCACAUACUUUGAACAUGUUAUCAGGAUGGACCAGUCUCUAGAGAAGGACAUCAUGCUUGGUAAAGUAGAGGGCCAGCGAAAAAGAGGAAGACCCUCAACGAGAUGGACUGACACAGUGGGUGCUGUUGGGCUCAAGCACAGCAACAAUUGUGAGGAUGGUGCAGGAAUGGGCAGUGUUUCCUUCUAUUGUACAUAGGGUCACUGUGAGUUGGAACUGACUCGAUGGCACCUAGCAACAACAACAGAAAACUCAUUGGAAAUAACUUAAAAAUGAAGGAACACGUCUUUCAUAAAACAGGAAGACUGGAGGUAGAGUGUUUCUGUGGCAGGUUAGUUCUGUGGCUCAAAGAAAUCAUGAAAGGUCUCAGCUCUUGUGUGAUUGUUAUAAAAAUGAACCAAAAAUGGCCUCUGUGUAUUGGCCCCAGACUGUUUAUUUCUUCUUAACAGGUCCAUUAGCCCAAAACCCCACCAGUGCCCAGCUCAAAUGUAUAUAUAUCCAGUUGUAAAAAUAACCCUACGAAAUAAGCAGAUUUUUAGCCAGAGGUGGCCUCCUUGACAUACCCUGUGAAAUGGCGCCUUACAUCUGCUACCCAUAGAUAAGCUAAAACUCUGUAGGUAUAAGGACCCUAAGGUGCUGCGGCCUUCAUAGCUCUCUGACCCAGGGGCUCCCCCCUAUCUUGCUGCAGUUUCCCCCCUUCCCUUCUUUUCCUGGGAGUUUCAGGCCCUUUGCCCCCUCUGAUGGCUCUCUGUGUCUCUUGCACCUCUCCUGCUAUGGGGAACCGUCGAUGUCUGAGUCCCAGUGAAUAGCUUUGUGGCAUAAUGGAUCACUUUUGUGCAGCCUUGCUUGCAGUGGUCUUGUAACUUCCACCCACUGUGCAAACAGGGUAAUUGUGGCCCACCAAGAGGCAUUGGUCAGUUUUGCCAUCCCGCUGGACUUGAAAUGAGCCACUCCAUUGGUGGGAGAGAGGGGAUCCCACCACCACCAAGAAAGAACAGCCAGCUGAGAAGCUCCUGGAACCAGGAGACUGAGAGAGCGAGCUGUAACCCUAAAGACAGUGAGAAGCCAUGGCAGGAGAGACUGGCAGGAGACUGUGCAAUGGGCUUCCUGGCCCAGAGAGCAAGAAAGCUGAGUGCCUUGGAUGCCUCUGGGAACUUAUUGGCAGGGGCUAAAAGAGCUUGGUAACACUUGCCUCAGCAGGGCAGAGGCCUAGGGCCAGAGAGAGGUGUGCCUGCGAGCACAGCUGAAAAGAGGCUGUUCUGAUGGAAGGAUUGUACCCUGAGCCUUCCUGAACAUGAAUUGUAACCCAUUACUUCCCUAAUAAACCCCAUAAUGGUGAGUAUUGUCUGUGAAUUCUUUGUGGCCAUUGCAAUGAAUUAUCGAACUCAGCCUAGGGCUAUUGAUCUUGAUUCUCCUUCCCCCUUGUAAUGUUAGAGGAGGUCAAACACAGCCUCCCCACCAUUUUUAUAAGCUUGUUAUGCAAUGCUGCAAUCUCAUGGUCAUAUCUGUUUCCUUGAUUAGCCCAGAAUUCCCUCAAACUCACUACAGUGAUCAUGAAUUGUGGUCAUGUAGAUGGUUUUUCAGGAGCUUGUGGUGUAAUGGUUAAGCACUUGGCUGCUAACUGAAAGGUCAGCAGAUAGAACCGACCAGCUGCUCCACAGGAGAAAAGACCUGGUGAUCUGCUCCUUAAAGAUUACAGCCUAGGAAUCCCUGUGAAGCAGUUCUACUCUGUCAUAUAGGGUCACUAUGAGUUGGAAUCGACUCAACUGCACACAACAACAGAUGGACCUUGCUUUUAGGACAUGCAAGCUAAAGGAUUUGGGGUGAACUGUCUUCACAUCUGCCAACUUUCAAAUGGUUCAGCCAAAAAUGCAAAUAUAUAAAGUGCCAUCAAGCAAAUAAGCAAAAUAUUAACUGGUGAAUCUAGGUAAAGGGCAUAUGGUGUUCCUUGUACCAUUCUAGCAUAAUUUCUGAUGGUUUGACAAUUUUUUAAAUUAAAAGUUGGAGGGAAAAAAAACCCAAGUUGUUCCCAUCUUUCUGCUCUGUUACCUUAAGUACUUUGCAGGGUUACACCUCAUAAUCACAAAAUGGCUGCAACAGCCCCCAGCACCACAUCCAAAGGCCAGAAGAGUAAGUCUUUCCUCUAUGUCUGUUAAAAGUGAGGCAAAAUACAUGAUAAAUCUGGAGUAUCUUGUACUGCCAGAAAAUAAGGAAGCGCAAAACAGAGUAGAAAAACAUGAAAUCUGAAUGGUUUAGUUAAUAGUAUUUUACUAAUUCUCAGUUUUGACAAAUGUACCAUGGUAAUGUAAGAUGUUAACGUUAGUUAGGGGAGUUGGGUGAAGGGUACAUGGAACUUUCUGUACUGCCUGCAACUGUCUUGUAAAUCCAGAAUUAUUACAAAAUUGAUUUAAAAAAAAAAAAGUGAAGCAAACAUUUUCAGAAGGCUCCAGUAGAUCUCCCCUCAAGUCUCAUUGGCCAAAA